AUUGAACGCUGGCGGCAGGCUUAACACAUGCAAGUCGAGCGGGGGAAGGUAGCUUGCUACCGGACCUAGCGGCGGACGGGUGAGUAAUGCUUAGGAAUCUGCCUAUUAGUGGGGGACAACAUCUCGAAAGGGAUGCUAAUACCGCAUACGUCCUACGGGAGAAAGCAGGGGAUCUUCGGACCUUGCGCUAAUAGAUGAGCCUAAGUCGGAUUAGCUAGUUGGUGGGGUAAAGGCCUACCAAGGCGACGAUCUGUAGCGGGUCUGAGAGGAUGAUCCGCCAGACGGGGACAGAGACACGGCCCAGACUCCGACGGGAUGCAGAAGGGGGGAAUAUUGGACAAUGGGGGGAGCCCUGAUCCAGCCAUGCCGCGUGGGUGAAGAAGGCCUUAUGGUUGUAAAGCACUUUAAGCGAGGAGGAGGCUACUCUAGUUAAUACCUAGGGAUAGUGGACGUUACUCGCAGAAUAAGCACCGGCUAACUCUGUGCCAGCAGCCGCCGCUG
This 501-nucleotide ribosomal RNA is filed under the name uncultured bacterium. RNAcentral describes it as "partial 16S ribosomal RNA". It matches the Rfam family "Bacterial small subunit ribosomal RNA", at positions 30 to 523 of the family's 1533-position model. The record is from RNAcentral.